Solea solea (common sole) is the source of this 1000-nucleotide long non-coding RNA. RefSeq lists it as uncharacterized. The record is from RefSeq and is a predicted model, not a curated record. Lineage: Eukaryota; Metazoa; Chordata; Actinopteri; Pleuronectiformes; Soleidae. The transcript is spliced from 3 exons.
UAUGUUUUGAUGCUUUGUGAUAAAGCAGAGGCAUAGAGUGAGAAGAAGGGCAAAGUUACAGCAUAUCUCUGUAACCUGGAGAAAGUGCUCUCACAUAUUCAGACCCUAGUGCCACAACGUGUAAAAUAUUGCUGCAGUCGAUACCUUUUUGGAGUUGUCCUCGCUUCCUCUUACUUAUUUGUCCUGUCCUGCACUUGUGUUGUUCUUUGACACUCGCACCGUCUCCGUCCCUGUGGACUGUCCUAAGCCUUGCUCAGGAUAUCUGACUCUCUAAAGCCAUGGCCUGAGCUCCCGGGGAGAAAACGGGAGAAUGAGAGAGGGGUUGAUCUGGUCUCUAAUCCACCUCGUCUUAAAGCAUAGGAGGGAAACUGCAGUCCUCUUUGAAUGUGACUGCCUGAACCCUCUGGUGUCCUGAUCACUAAUCUGGGACAUUGUCUCAAAUGGUGUAGGAAACAUUAUUCUGAAUAUCACAGCUAACUAAGUCCGACUGACACACUGGGGUGAAUUAUAUUGUUUUCAGAGACUUAAUGCGUGUGUGUGUAUGUUUGAGAUAUGUAUGUAUUGUACAUGUAGAUCAUCACUUUUAGUCUUCAUUGGUAGUUGCUGUUAUCAUAUACAAUAUCUCCAUAGUCUGUGGUGUAUAGCUCCUCAACGCACCUCUCCACCUUGACUAACUUUUCCAGGCAUUCAUUAGCGGACUGGCUGAAGUUUGGAGGGUAUGAAGCAGGCUGGCAGAUGACCCCCUAUAAAGUAGCACACCUCAGUGGCGUUUGGUGCGAGAAGUGCAAAACAACAAAGAAGUGUUUGUUUGCAUAAUAUUAGCACUGCACACUUGCACACAGUGGCGGGGGCCUGACUGCGGGACUGACUGGAGGCCUCCCAUGAACACAGGUGGAGCAGGGCGAGCAUCACUGGGACCAAUUAGAGCAGAGCACAGAACAGUCAGAGCAGAGCAGGAGCACCGGAGCAUCGGAAGACAUCAAACCAUUGUGAAAGUGAG